Molecule: ribosomal RNA, 253 nt
Filed under: uncultured bacterium
Lineage: Bacteria
Description: partial 16S ribosomal RNA
Rfam family: Bacterial small subunit ribosomal RNA
Source: RNAcentral
UACGUAGGGGGUAAGCGUUGUCCGGAAUCAUUGGGCGUAAAGAGCGUGUAGGCGGCUUGGUAAGUCCGCUGUGAAAGUCCAGGGCUCAACCCUGGAAUGCCGGUGGAAACUGUCAAGCUUGAGUCCGGAAGAGGCGAGUGGAAUUCCUGGUGUAGCGGUGAAAUGCGCAGAUAUCAGGAGGAACACCAAUGGCGAAGGCAGCUCGCUGGGACGGUACUGACGCUGAGACGCGAAAGCGUGGGGAGCAAACAGG